Molecule: ribosomal RNA, 253 nt
Filed under: uncultured bacterium
Lineage: Bacteria
Description: partial 16S ribosomal RNA
Rfam family: Bacterial small subunit ribosomal RNA
Source: RNAcentral
UACGAAGGGGGCUAGCGUUGCUCGGAAUCACUGGGCGUAAAGCGCACGUAGGCGGAUUGCUAAGUCAGGGGUGAAAUCCUGGAGCUCAACUCCAGAACUGCCUUUGAUACUUGCGAUCUCGAGUCCGGGAGAGGUGAGUGGAACUGCGAGUGUAGAGGUGAAAUUCGUAGAUAUUCGCAAGAACACCAGUGGCGAAGGCGGCUCACUGGCCCGGAACUGACGCUGAGACGCGAAAGCGUGGGGAGCAAACAGG